AGACUGAAGUGCCUUGUUUUUGUUCCCUGCCAGAAAUGAGAAUGAUCAGGACAUGGAGAAAAUUAUAAAAAGCAGCUUAAAUCUGCUAGACUUGGCAAACACCACAAUGAUAUAUUUUCCUCUAAAAAAGUGACAACAAUAAGAAUAAAUAAAAACAAUUAAUUAGAAUCCUUUAAAAUGACUUUUAAAACAUGGAUGAUGAGAAAACGUAAAAAUUGUUUUUAUACAUUUGUUGUGGACCAUAUACACCUGUGUGUGUUAUAAAUAAGCAAGACAUUUCUGCUUGCUCUGUUCAGGAAGAACUCAGCUGAGCAAAGUUGUUAAAGAUCAUAUGGAAGAAAAUUUAUGCCAAUAACAUUUUGGUCUAAUGAAGAAGUCUAUUAAGAUGUAAAAUGGUAGAAUGUUGUAAAAUGCUAGUUGAAAUUGCUGUACAUUCUGCAUCCUCUUGGGAGAUAGAUUUCCAGGGAUCUCUUGUAUUUCUGCCAUCUAUAAGCCUACCUUUAGAAGGUAUACUCUGUUCCUCUGGAGUAGAGGGGAGUUUCGUUCAUUGCUCAGAAUAAUGAAGAUUAUAUCUCUCUUUGGGGCAAAGGUUGGUUGAGUAGGUUUGUCUUUAUACAAUUCAUAUUUUCUAACUUUAAGGCUCCUCAGCUGUGAUGCAAACCCCAUUGUAUGUACUUUAUCCAUUCAAGCCCAUCCUCAUGUUGCCUCCAGGGAAUCUGCAGAGCAAGGGAAACUGAUGUGGCCAUGAAGCACACUCUGCUUGCUGUGCAGUGAGUAAACGUUCUUUGUCUCUGACCCAGGAAUCUCCUGUCUUUUGCCAUCUAUGAAACUGCAGCAUGCUGAUUUGUUAGCUUGUUAAGUAGUACAAAAUCUCAGACCCUUUGCAGUUCUUAACAUAUCAGUCUUUCCAAUUUUGGCUUGUUUUUUUUUUUCUUGCACAGUUCAUCAUUUCGGUCUCUGUUCAUCUCAUCCCUUUCUUCCUCCUUAUAUUCUGCAUCACCUUAUUUCUCAUUAUUCCUUGUUUAUUCAAACUAAUCUCGUCCGCUAUAUGUGAAAAUAUCACUUAGUACAGAACUUGGCUCAUGAUAUAUAUCUGUUAAAUGAACCAGUACAUUUAUAAGUUUCUAUUUCUGAAGAGCAUUUCUCACUUGGCUUAUCAUUGACAACUUGAAUUAGAUGUGCAUAAUGUUAAUUCAAUUUUGAGUUUCAGUUGUUAAUUUCCCUUUAAAUUGUAGGAUGUUGAAUUGAUCAUAGGAAUUCUAUGAACUAUAUUUUUCAAAUGUUUGCUGCACUAUUUUCUUCUUUCUAGGGGAUUUUUUUUCUCUCUUUCUCUCUCUUCCUUUUGAUGUACAGGGCCAUUUAAGUCCUACAUGCAUUUCUGGAAAACUAAAACCCCAAAUCUAAGCCUGUUGAACCUCUUGUCACACAAGUAUUUGAAAGAAUGAUACUUAAGGGAAAUAGAAAAUGACACUUUUUCCCUCGUCUUUUGAAGACGAAAUGAUCCACCCCCCUUCAAUUCUACCAAAAGAGAUCCCCAGCUCAUUUUCCUUAGCAAGAGCUUUAAAGUGUAAAAAACUCAUCAAACAUCUUUUCCUCUGAGACAAUGUCAUCUGAGUUCAAAGGAUGUACACAGCUCUGCAAAACUGCUGUCUUGUUUCAGUGAUAAGGCCUUGGCUUUCAUUUUAUAUUUGAUUCCAAGAAAAUCAAAUCUGUUUUUAUGUACACUAUGACUAUAACUAAAUCAGGAAAUUAGUAAGAAAUAAUCUAUUUCCACAGACAUUGGGGGGAGGAGUUUCCAGUUUUUUUUUACAAAAAUCCUAAAAUGACUCUUCAGUUAGGUUACAUUUUCACUCUCAAGAUAUACUCAGUUAUUAAAACUAAAUAUAUAUAUAUUUAUCCUUCCACACAGUGGACAAAACCUAUACUGUUACUCUUAAGAAACAAUAUUGUCUUCUUCCGUGAGGUUAACUCUUUGGAAAACCCUUACUGGCUAACUAGAAGAUUGAGGAUAAUGCUUUGUUUGCUUAUUUUCUCCUAAAUAUGGUCAAAACUUCUGCACCAUGAUGAUGAUUAUUUUUUAAAUAAACAUUUUAAUGUUUAUUCAGUGACUUAACUGAAUCAGCUUCUGGACACGGGGCACUGAAAAUCUAAAUAAAAAAAAUCCUAGGACAUGCGAUUUGAUCACAGCAUAUUCAGAUCCAUUCAAUAGAGACAGAGUAGGGAGUUCUUGUCACCUUGUCGCGGAUCAGCAGUUAACGAAUCCGGCUAGCAUCCCUGAGUGUGCAGGUUUGAUCCCUGGCCUUGUUCAGUGUGUUGGGGAUCCAACAUUGCCACGAACUGUGGUGUGGGUCAAGAGACAUGGAUCGGAUCCAGGGUUUCUGUGGCUGUGGCAUAGGCCAGCAGCUUUAGCUCUGAUUUAACCCUAGCCUGGGGUCAAAAAAAAAACAGAGACAGAGUAAUACUCAUUAUAAUGCUUGAGCUAUAUUAGGUUAACUUUCUUAUACAUUAAAAAAUAAUUUCAGACAUUAUGAAAUAAACUUACCUCAAUAAUCAAAAUGUGAAGAAUUAAUAACCUCACUAAUAUUUGGUUAUAAACAUUCACUUGUGAAAAUUGGGCAAAAUAAAGAUGUAGUUGUAAAUAUUUUGUCUCCUCAAGUUCAUGUAUCAUGGAUAAAUUAAAAAUACUAGGACGAUCUAAAAUAUAUGAGUUAAAAUAGUCACCAAAAUGACAUAUUUGGAGUAACUUUGUUUUAGGUGAAAGAUUCUAUCAUUUUUAACCUCAAAUAUCAAAUCAAAUAUUUAGAAAUUUUAUGGAGUAUAUGCGCUGAUCAAAAAGAAGUGGAUACUACACCUUGAUUUCUCAAGAAAGUUCCCCUACCCCAACAAACUUCAUAAAACCUUUUCAGCAUCUGUUGGGACAUGACCAUGCCCAGAGCAAAGUGAAGAAAAAAUUGAAAAUUAACUUGAUUACUUUUGUUACUCUCAUGCCUUUCAAACUCAUUUAUAGAUUCUGAUGAGUUUUGUGCACACUUUAAUAAAUGAAUUAGGAGUUCCCGUCAUGGCUCAGUGGUUAAUGAAUCUGACUAGGAACCAUGAGGUUGCAGGUUCGAUACCUGGCCUCGCUCAGUGGAUUAAGGAUCCGGCAUUGCCAUGAGCUGUGGCGUAGGUGACAGAUGUGGCUCGGAUCCAGUGUUGCUGUGGCUGUGGCAUAGGCUGGCAUCUACAGCUCCGAUUAGACCCCUAGCCUGGGAAACUCCAUAUGCCGCAGGAAGCGGCCCUAGAAAAG
This 3286-nucleotide long non-coding RNA is filed under the name Sus scrofa (pig). RNAcentral describes it as "lncRNA (ENSSSCG00000063416.1)". Lineage: Eukaryota; Metazoa; Chordata; Mammalia; Artiodactyla; Suidae. The record is from RNAcentral.